AUUGAACGCUGGCGGCAGGCCUAACACAUGCAAGUCGAGCGAGCGGCGGACGGGUGAGUAAUGUAUGGGGAUCUGCCCGAUGGAGGGGGAUAACUACUGGAAACGGUGGCUAAUACCGCAUACUAUCGGAUGAACCCAGAUGGGAUUAGCUAGUAGGUGGGGUAACGGCUCACCUAGGCGACGAUCUCUAGCUGGUCUGAGAGGAUGAUCAGCCACACUGGAACUGAGACACGGUCCAGACUCGUACGGGAGGCAGCAGGGGGGAAUAUUGCACAAUGGGCGCCAGCCUGAUGCAGCCAUGCCGCGUGUAUGAAGAAGGCCUUCGGGUUGUAAAGUACUUUCAGCGGGGAGGCGUUACCCGCAGAAGAAGCACCGGCUAACUCCGUGCCAGCCGCCGCGGUAAUUC
RNAcentral lists this ribosomal RNA (406 nucleotides) under uncultured bacterium. RNAcentral's name for it is "partial 16S ribosomal RNA". It matches the Rfam family "Bacterial small subunit ribosomal RNA", at positions 30 to 526 of the family's 1533-position model. The record is from RNAcentral.